RNAcentral lists this long non-coding RNA (430 nucleotides) under Homo sapiens (human). RNAcentral's name for it is "non-protein coding lnc-CDY2B-5:1". The record is from RNAcentral. Lineage: Eukaryota; Metazoa; Chordata; Mammalia; Primates; Hominidae.
AAUUAAUUUAUGUUUUCAUCUUCCCUGUAUCAAGAGUUCACCUGCAAUGUAUAAGAAGUAAGAACUGCCAGCAGAACAGGCAUUUCCAAGAUGUAGGUCACCCACUACCAUGAAUCCUAGCUUGAGCUACUUGUUGCGCCAGCUAUUGACUGUGUAAAAAAAUCUAAAAAUGAGAGUAGGCUCUUUGACUGCAAUAUAUGACACAGACAAAGCAAUAACUACUUGUGAAAUAUUUACUGAGUGGGACUAUCUGCCCCCGUUGGACCCCACCCAACAAAAGUAUUUGUGGGACUCAAAGACGCUGGUGCUACUUAUCAAAUACAUGCUGUGAUCCAGCAGCUAUACCUGAUCCCUGUCAUCGGCCACAGCAUUUCUACCAUUGAAAACACAGGUAGUGACAUAGAUGAUGAUCGUGGGGCUGGGAAAUGAG